Molecule: ribosomal RNA, 1489 nt
Filed under: Lactiplantibacillus plantarum
Lineage: Bacteria; Bacillati; Bacillota; Bacilli; Lactobacillales; Lactobacillaceae
Description: bacterial SSU rRNA
Rfam family: Bacterial small subunit ribosomal RNA
Source: RNAcentral
GACGAACGCUGGCGGCGUGCCUAAUACAUGUAAGUCGAACGAACUCUGGUAUUGAUUGGUGCUUGCAUCAUGAUUUACAUUUGAGUGAGUGGCGAACUGGUGAGUAACACGUGGGAAACCUGCCCAGAAGCGGGGGAUAACACCUGGAAACAGAUGCUAAUACCGCAUAACAACUUGGACCGCAUGGUCCGAGCUUGAAAGAUGGCUUCGGCUAUCACUUUUGGAUGGUCCCGCGGCGUAUUAGCUAGAUGGUGGGGUAACGGCUCACCAUGGCAAUGAUACGUAGCCGACCUGAGAGGGUAAUCGGCCACAUUGGGACUGAGACACGGCCCAAACUCCUACGGGAGGCAGCAGUAGGGAAUCUUCCACAAUGGACGAAAGUCUGAUGGAGCAACGCCGCGUGAGUGAAGAAGGGUUUCGGCUCGUAAAACUCUGUUGUUAAAGAAGAACAUAUCUGAGAGUAACUGUUCAGGUAUUGACGGUAUUUAACCAGAAAGCCACGGCUAACUACGUGCCAGCAGCCGCGGUAAUACGUAGGUGGCAAGCGUUGUCCGGAUUUAUUGGGCGUAAAGCGAGCGCAGGCGGUUUUUUAAGUCUGAUGUGAAAGCCUUCGGCUCAACCGAAGAAGUGCAUCGGAAACUGGGAAACUUGAGUGCAGAAGAGGACAGUGGAACUCCACGUGUAGCGGUGAAAUGCGUAGAUAUAUGGAAGAACACCAGUGGCGAAGGCGGCUGUCUGGUAUGUAACCGACGCUGAGGCGCGAAAGUAUGGGUAGCAAACAGGAUUAGAUACCCUGGUAGUCCAUACCGUAAACGAUGAAUGCUAAGUGUUGGAGGGUUUCCGCCCUUCAGUGCUGCAGCUAACGCAUUAAGCAUUCCGCCUGGGGAGUACGGCCGCAAGGCUGAAACUCAAAGGAAUUGACGGGGGCCCGCACAAGCGGUGGAGCAUGUGGUUUAAUUCGAAGCUACGCGAAGAACCUUACCAGGUCUUGACAUACUAUGCAAAUCUAAGAGAUUAGACGUUCCCUUCGGGGACAUGGAUACAGGUGGUGCAUGGUUGUCGUCAGCUCGUGUCGUGAGAUGUUGGGUUAAGUCCCGCAACGAGCGCAACCCUUAUUAUCAGUUGCCAGCAUUAAGUUGGGCACUCUGGUGAGACUGCCGGUGACAAACCGGAGGAAGGUGGGGAUGACGUCAAAUCAUCAUGCCCCUUAUGACCUGGGCUACACACGUGCUACAAUGGAUGGUACAACGAGUUGCGAACUCGCGAGAGUAAGCUAAUCUCUUAAAGCCAUUCUCAGUUCGGAUUGUAGGCUGCAACUCGCCUACAUGAAGUCGGAAUCGCUAGUAAUCGCGGAUCAGCAUGCCGCGGUGAAUACGUUCCCGGGCCUUGUACACACCGCCCGUCACACCAUGAGAGUUUGUAACACCCAAAGUCGGUGGGGUAACCUUUUAGGAACCAGCCGCCUAAGGUGGGACAGAUGAUUAGGGUG